UCAGGCACCCAUGAAGCCACCCCUGCUUGUUUUGGUAGCUUUGGGCGAUCAACAGGAUGCCAACAUGAUAACUUUCACCGACGGUCGCAGUUCAGUCUGUAAAUGACUGUUGCUGCAACAUUAUGGGAAAGGAUAACU
Molecule: small nucleolar RNA, 138 nt
Organism: Gadus morhua (Atlantic cod)
Lineage: Eukaryota; Metazoa; Chordata; Actinopteri; Gadiformes; Gadidae
Source: Ensembl